AACGAACGCUGGCGGCAUGCCUAACACAUGCAAGUCGAACGAGACCUUCGGGUCUAGUGGCGCACGGGUGCGUAACGCGUGGGAACCUGCCCUUAGGUUCGGAAUAACUCCCCGAAAGGGGUGCUAAUACCGGCUAAUGUCUCCGGACCAAAGAUUUAUCGCCCUUGGAUGGGCCCGCGUUGGAUUAGCUAGUUGGUAGGGUAAAAGCCUACCAAGGCGACGAUCCAUAGCUGGUCUGAGAGGCUGAUCAGCCACACUGGGACUGAGACACGGCCCAGACUCCUACGGGAGGCAGCAGUGGGGAAUAUUGGACAAUGGGCGAAAGCCUGAUCCAGCAAUGCCGCGUGAGUGAUGAAGGCCUUAGGGUUGUAAAGCUCUUUUACCCGGGAUGAUAAUGACAGUACCGGGAGAAUAAGCUCCGGCUAACUCCGUG
Molecule: ribosomal RNA, 433 nt
Filed under: uncultured bacterium
Lineage: Bacteria
Description: partial 16S ribosomal RNA
Rfam family: Bacterial small subunit ribosomal RNA
Source: RNAcentral